CCAAUAGCGUAUAUUAAAGUUGUUGCAGUUAAAAAGCUCGUAGUUGAAUUUCGGGGUUCAUCCGUUGGUCGGGCUUUUUUGGUCUGUACUGGCGUGAUGGAUUCCUACCUUCUGAAUAACCAGCAUGUCAUUAAUUUGGUGCGCUGGGGAAGCAGGACUGUUACCUUGAAAAAAUUAGAGUGCUUAAAGCAGGCUAUUGCCUGAAUACAUUAGCAUGGAAUAAUGAAAUAGGACGGCAUGGUUCUAUUUUGUUGGUUUCUAGGAUCACCGUAAUGAUUAAUAGGGAUAGUUGGGGGCAUUAGUAUUCAAUUGUCAGAGGUGAAAUUCUUGGAUUUAUUGAAGACUAACUUCUGCGAAAGCAUUUGCCAAGGAUGUUUUCAUUAAUCAAGAACGAAAGUUAGGGGAUCGAAGACGAUCAGAUACCGUCGUAGUCUUAACCAUAAACUAUGCCGACUAGGGAUCGGACGAUGUUAAUUUUUUAAUGACUCGUUCGGCGCCUUACG
RNAcentral lists this ribosomal RNA (503 nucleotides) under uncultured Glomeromycotina. RNAcentral's name for it is "partial small subunit ribosomal RNA". It matches the Rfam family "Eukaryotic small subunit ribosomal RNA", at positions 591 to 1092 of the family's 1831-position model. Lineage: Eukaryota; Fungi; Glomeromycota. The record is from RNAcentral.